AACGAACGCUGGCGGCAGGCCUAACACAUGCAAGUCGAGCGCGCCCUUCGGGGUGAGCGGCGGACGGGUGAGUAACGCGUGGGAACGUGCCCUUUUCUACGGAAUAGCCUCGGGAAACUGAGAGUAAACCCGUAUACGCCCUUUGGGGGAAAGAUUUAUCGGAAAAGGAUCGGCCCGCGUUGGAUUAGGUAGUUGGUGGGGUAAUGGCCUACCAAGCCGACGAUCCAUAGCUGGUUUGAGAGGAUGAUCAGCCACACUGGGACUGAGACACGGCCCAGACUCCUACGGGAGGCAGCAGUGGGGAAUCUUAGACAAUGGGGGCAACCCUGAUCUAGCCAUGCCGCGUGAGUGAUGAAGGCCUUAGGGUUGUAAAGCUCUUUCAGCUGGGAAGAUAAUGACGGUACCAGCAGAAGAAGCCCCGGCUAACUCCGUG
RNAcentral lists this ribosomal RNA (433 nucleotides) under uncultured bacterium. Its description in RNAcentral is "partial 16S ribosomal RNA". It matches the Rfam family "Bacterial small subunit ribosomal RNA", at positions 29 to 507 of the family's 1533-position model. The record is from RNAcentral.